CAGUAGCCGCGGUAAUACGUAGGGUGCAAGCGUUAAUCGGAAUUACUGGGCGUAAAGCGUGCGCAGGCGGUUUUGUAAGACAGAGGUGAAAUCCCCGGGCUCAACCUGGGAACUGCCUUUGUGACUGUAUAGCUAGAGUACGGCAGAGGGGGAUGGAAUUCCGCGUGUAGCAGUGAAAUGCGUAGAUAUGCGGAGGAACACCGAUGGCGAAGGCAAUCCCCUGGGCCUGUACUGACGCUCAUGCACGAAAGCGUGGGGAGCAAACAGGAUUAGAUACCCGGGUAGUCCCUGUCUCUUAUAC
This 301-nucleotide ribosomal RNA is filed under the name uncultured bacterium. RNAcentral describes it as "partial 16S ribosomal RNA". It matches the Rfam family "Bacterial small subunit ribosomal RNA", at positions 509 to 807 of the family's 1533-position model. The record is from RNAcentral.